UGGGGAAUCUUGCGCAAUGGGCGAAAGCCUGACGCAGCGACGCCGCGUGCGGGAUGAAGGCCUUCGGGUUGUAAACCGCUUUCAGCAGGGACGAAAUUGACGGUACCUGCAGAAGAAGCCCCGGCCAACUACGUGCCAGCAGCCGCGGUAAUACGUAGGGGGCGAGCGUUGUCCGGAUUUAUUGGGCGUAAAGAGCUCGUAGGCGGUUUGGUAAGUCACGGGUGAAAUCUCCACGCUCAACGUGGAGGCGCCCCGUGAGACUGCUAUGACUAGAGUCCGGUAGAGGAGUGUGGAAAUUCCCGGUGUAGCGGUGAAAUGCGCAGAGAUCGGGAGGAACACCCGUAGCGAAGGCGGCACUCUGGGCCGGUACUGACGCUCAGGAGCGAAAGCGUGGGGAGCAAAACAGGAUUAGAUACC
Molecule: ribosomal RNA, 417 nt
Filed under: uncultured bacterium
Lineage: Bacteria
Description: bacterial SSU rRNA
Rfam family: Bacterial small subunit ribosomal RNA
Source: RNAcentral